Molecule: microRNA precursor, 135 nt
Filed under: Podarcis lilfordi (Lilford's wall lizard)
Lineage: Eukaryota; Metazoa; Chordata; Lepidosauria; Squamata; Lacertidae
Source: RNAcentral
CUUCCAGUAGCACCUUAGAGACCAACUAAGUUUGUUAUUGGUAUGAGCUUUCGUGUGGUAUCUGAAGAAGUGUGCAUGCAAACAAAAGCUCAUACCAAUAACAAACUUGGUUGGUCUCUAAGGUGCUACUGGAAG